CAAUUAAACUACCAAUUGUUCGCCAAACAACUACGAGUAAUACUUAAAACUUAAAAGACUUGACGGUACUUCACCCCGACCUAGAGGAGCCUGUCUAAUAACCGAUAACCCACGAUUAACCCAACCACUUCUUGCCCUACAGUCUAUAUACCGCCGUCGCCAGCUUACCUUGUAAAAGAAAUAAAGUGAGCCAAAUAGUAACACACUAAAACGACAGGUCGAGGUGUAACCUAUGAAGAGGCUAAGAUGGGCUACAUUCUCUAACAGAGAUACGAACAACACUAUGAAAUUAGUGUUCGAAGACGGAUUUAGCAGUAAGAUAAGAAUAGAACACCUAACUGAAAAUAACGCAAUGAAGUGCGCACACACCGCCCGUCACCCCUGCCACCACG
This 392-nucleotide ribosomal RNA is filed under the name Trimeresurus albolabris (white-lipped tree viper). RNAcentral describes it as "partial 12S ribosomal RNA". The record is from RNAcentral. Lineage: Eukaryota; Metazoa; Chordata; Lepidosauria; Squamata; Viperidae.